Molecule: unclassified non-coding RNA, 990 nt
Organism: Stegodyphus dumicola
Lineage: Eukaryota; Metazoa; Arthropoda; Arachnida; Araneae; Eresidae
Source: RefSeq, a predicted model, not a curated record
UGAUAUUUUGUGUUUUAAUUAUCUUAUUUUAGUUAUGUGUUUGUCUAAGCAAUCUGAAAAGAUGAAAAUACUCAUAAUCGGGGAUUCUAUGAUUAAAUAUUUACAAGAAUAUUUGUCUGCGAAUUUACCUGAUUACGAAGUUGAUUUUCGUUGCUUUCCAGGAGCUAGGAUUGAAAGGUUGACACGUGAGAUUGCCUUUAUGAACAACCAUUUUCAUUUAGUUUUUGUCCACGUUGGUACCAAUAAUUCAAAUGACGAUUUAGAUGAAAUUCAUCGUAAAUAUGGUUGUCUAUAUAAGGGAAUUGAACGAUUAAACCCGAAGGUCAUUCUGUUUUCAGGUGUUCUCCCACGAUGCCCGGAUUUAUAUCGAGAUUGUAACACGUAUCACCUACAAGAACUUAAUAGGAAGAUACUAAACAUAAAUUCAAGAUUUCUCGCAACAUACGAAGGUAAAGAUGGGUUUUUCUUUUGCAGCUCUUUUGACUAUUCUUGGAGUACUUGUUUAUCCAGAGACGGUUUACACCUAAAUCGGAGAGGUAAUCAGCAGCUGGGGAAAAUUUUUGUAAAAGAUAUCAGGAUAAGUUUGACUGUUGCAGAGUUGCAUGGUAGCUGAAUGAUCUCUUAUAUGGAUGGAUGGAUGCCAUGCCAGUAUAAGAAGAGAUUAAGUCCCAAUGGCAAUUGUUUUUGUGAUUGACUGUGCAAUAUAUUUGUAAAGCUUUCAGAAAAUAAUUGCUUUUAGGACAUAUAAAAAUAUGUUCCCCAUAUAGAAUUUAAAGAACAUCUGAUUUCUGUUAUUUUCAAAUAUUGCAACUAAAUAUUCCUCAGAUUUAAGAAAUGUGGCCAGCACAUCUCUAACCAUUUUGAGACGUGGAAUUGACAGAAUAGUAACGAGCUUUAAGUGAACUAUCAGUAUCUAGUUGAUCAUUUAUAAAUGAAAUCUAAUUAAUUUGUUAACUUUAUGGCUCAGUCUUAAUUAUAAACACUAGUCAU